Molecule: long non-coding RNA, 302 nt
Filed under: Solanum tuberosum (potato)
Lineage: Eukaryota; Viridiplantae; Streptophyta; Magnoliopsida; Solanales; Solanaceae
Description: long non-coding RNA (STUB_LNC001344)
Source: RNAcentral
CAACUUAAAGUGCUUACCCAACCCAACUAACCCAUUAAAUCCAUUUCCUAAUACCAUUUCCCUCGUCACUCUUUCAGCUCAAACAUACCCAGAGUUAAGAUGUAUGCGUCCACUAUCAGUCAACGGACCAGGUCCCUUGACAUAGUAAGAACAGUAAUGAAAGCGUAAACACUAAGGAAAACAACACAAGCAAUUUACGUGGAAACUCCCUUGCUCAAGGGCGGUGAAAACCACGACGUGUCCUCACAUGCUUUCAAUCCAACUCCAUUUCACUCAAACGGAGCAACAAUUUAAAUUACAAU